RNAcentral lists this small nuclear RNA (328 nucleotides) under Amazona aestiva (blue-fronted amazon). RNAcentral's name for it is "7SK RNA". It matches the Rfam family "7SK RNA". Rfam says of the family: 7SK was discovered as an abundant small nuclear RNA in the mid-70s but a possible function has only recently been suggested. The record is from Rfam by way of RNAcentral. Lineage: Eukaryota; Metazoa; Chordata; Aves; Psittaciformes; Psittacidae.
GGAUGUGAGGAUGAUCUGGCUGCGACAUCUGUCACCCCAUUGAUCACCAGGUUGAUUCAGCAGAUCUGGCUGGCUAGGCAGGUGUCCACUUCCUCCCUCACCGCUCCANGUGUGUCCCUCCCAAAGCUGCGUGCUCGGUCAAAGAGAACGACUUUCCCCGAUACAGGCAGUACCGUUCAUCGGUCACGGGUGUUCGGUAGCUGCACUCCCCUGCUAGAGCCUCCAAACAAGCUCAGGGACCAGCUGUAGGAGAAUGUAAGGUAGUCAAGCUUCCAAGGCUGCAGACACAUCCAAGUGAGGCACUGCAUGUGGCAGUCUGCCAUUCUUU